RNAcentral lists this ribosomal RNA (2233 nucleotides) under Plesiomonas shigelloides. RNAcentral describes it as "bacterial LSU rRNA". It matches the Rfam family "Bacterial large subunit ribosomal RNA", at positions 715 to 2925 of the family's 2925-position model. Lineage: Bacteria; Pseudomonadati; Pseudomonadota; Gammaproteobacteria; Enterobacterales; Enterobacteriaceae. The record is from RNAcentral.
CCGAAACCGGUGAUCUAGCCAUGGGCAGGUUGAAGGUUGGGUAACACUAACUGGGGACCGAACCGACUAAUGUUGAAAAAAUUAGCGGAUGACUUGUGGCUGGGGGUGAAAGGCCAAUCAAAACCGGGGAGAUAGCUGGUUCUCCCCGAAAGCUAUUUAGGUAGCGCCUCGGACGAACACCUACGGGGGUAGAGCACUGUUAAGGCUAGGGGGUCAUCCCGACUUACCAACCCUUUGCAAACUCCGAAUACCGUAGAGUGCUAUCCGGGAGACACACGGCGGGUGCUAACGUCCGUCGUGAAGAGGGAAACAACCCAGACCGCCAGCUAAGGUCCCAAAGUCAUGGUUAAGUGGGAAACGAUGUGGGAAGGCUUAGACAGCUAGGAUGUUGGCUUAGAAGCAGCCAUCAUUUAAAGAAAGCGUAAUAGCUCACUAGUCGAGUCGGCCUGCGCGGAAGAUGUAACGGGCUAAACCAUGCACCGAAGCUGCGGCAAUGACGCUUAGGCGUUAUUGGGUAGGGGAGCGUUCUGUAAGCGGUUGAAGGUGUACUGUGAGGUAUGCUGGACGUAUCAGAAGUGCGAAUGCUGACAUAAGUAACGAUAAAGCGGGUGAAAAGCCCGCUCGCCGGAAGACCAAGGGUUCCUGUUCAACGUUAAUCGGAGCAGGGUGAGUCGACCCCUAAGGCGAGGCUGAAAAGCGUAGUCGAUGGGAAACGGGUUAAUAUUCCCGUACUUGUGGUAACUGCGAAGGGGGACGGAGAAAGUUAGGCUAUCCGGGCGACGGUUGUCCCGGUUUAAGCGUGAAGGUGGAAAGACUAGGCAAAUCCGGUCUUUCAUUAACACUGAGGCGUGAUGACGAAGCACUACGGUGCUGAAGUAGCUGAUACUACGCUUCCAGGAAAAGCCUCUAAGCAUCAGGUUACCAGAAAUCGUACCCCAAACCGACACAGGUGGUCAGGUAGAGAAUACUCAGGCGCUUGAGAGAACUCGGGUGAAGGAACUAGGCAAAAUGGUGCCGUAACUUCGGGAGAAGGCACGCUGACGGUAGGUGAAGUCCCUUGCGGAUGGAGCUGAAGUCAGUCGAAGAUACCAGCUGGCUGCAACUGUUUAUUAAAAACACAGCACUGUGCAAACACGAAAGUGGACGUAUACGGUGUGACGCCUGCCCGGUGCCGGAAGGUUAAUUGAUGGGGUUAGCGAAAGCGAAGCUCUUGAUCGAAGCCCCGGUAAACGGCGGCCGUAACUAUAACGGUCCUAAGGUAGCGAAAUUCCUUGUCGGGUAAGUUCCGACCUGCACGAAUGGCGUAAUGAUGGCCAGGCUGUCUCCACCCGAGACUCAGUGAAAUUGAAAUCGCUGUGAAGAUGCAGUGUACCCGCGGCAAGACGGAAAGACCCCGUGAACCUUUACUAUAGCUUGACACUGAACAUUGAGCCUUGAUGUGUAGGAUAGGUGGGAGGCAUUGAAACGUGAACGCCAGUUUGCGUGGAGCCGACCUUGAAAUACCACCCUUUAAUGUUUGAUGUUCUAACGUUGUCCCGUAAUCCGGGAUACGGACAGUGUCUGGUGGGUAGUUUGACUGGGGCGGUCUCCUCCUAAAGAGUAACGGAGGAGCACGAAGGUUAGCUAAGCAUGGUCGGACAUCAUGCGGUUAGUGCAAAGGCAGAAGCUAGCUUAACUGCGAGACGGACAGGUCGAGCAGAUACGAAAGUAGGUCUUAGUGAUCCGGUGGUUCUGAAUGGAAGGGCCAUCGCUCAACGGAUAAAAGGUACUCCGGGGAUAACAGGCUGAUACCGCCCAAGAGUUCAUAUCGACGGCGGUGUUUGGCACCUCGAUGUCGGCUCAUCACAUCCUGGGGCUGAAGUUGGUCCCAAGGGUAUGGCUGUUCGCCAUUUAAAGUGGUACGCGAGCUGGGUUUAGAACGUCGUGAGACAGUUCGGUCCCUAUCUGUCGUGGGCGUUGGAUGAUUGAGGGGGGCUGCUCCUAGUACGAGAGGACCGGAGUGGACGCAUCUCUGGUGUUCCGGUUGUCACGCCAGUGGCAUUGCCGGGUAGCUAAAUGCGGAAGAGAUAAGCGCUGAAAGCAUCUAAGCGCGAAACUUGCCCCGAGAUGAGUCAUCCCUGAGGCUUUAAGCCUCCUAAAGGGUUGUUGGAGACUACGACGUAGAUAGGCAGGGUGUGUAAGCGUAGCGAUACGUUGAGCUAACCUGUACUAAUUGCCCGUGAGGCUUAACCAU